CAGUCGCCACGGGAAUACGGAGGGAGCUAGCGUUGUUCGGAGUUACUGGGCGUAAAGCGCGCGUAGGCGGUUACUCAAGUCAGAGGUGAAAGCCCGGGGCUCAACCCCGGAACUGCCUUUGAAACUAGGUGACUAGAAUCUUGGAGAGGUCAGUGGAAUUCCGAGUGUAGAGGUGAAAUUCGUAGAUAUUCGGAAGAACACCAGUGGCGAAGGCGACUGACUGGACAAGUAUUGACGCUGAGGUGCGAAAGCGUGGGGAGCAAACAGGAUUAGAUACCCCUGUAGUCCCUGUCUCUUAUAC
Molecule: ribosomal RNA, 301 nt
Filed under: uncultured bacterium
Lineage: Bacteria
Description: partial 16S ribosomal RNA
Rfam family: Bacterial small subunit ribosomal RNA
Source: RNAcentral